This 385-nucleotide ribosomal RNA is filed under the name uncultured bacterium. Its description in RNAcentral is "bacterial SSU rRNA". It matches the Rfam family "Bacterial small subunit ribosomal RNA", at positions 28 to 417 of the family's 1533-position model. The record is from RNAcentral.
GAUGAACGCUAGCGGCAGGCUUAACACAUGCAAGUCGAGGGGUAUUGGUUUUCGGACCAAGAGACCGGCGCACGGGUGCGUAACGCGUAUGCAAUCUACCUUUUACAGGGAAUAGCCCAGAGAAAUUUGGAUUAAUGCCCCAUAGUAUAUAUCAUUCGCAUGUUUGAUAUAUUAAAGUUCCAACGGUAAAAGAUGAGCAUGCGUCCCAUUAGUUAGUUGGUAAGGUAACGGCUUACCAAGACAAUGAUGGGUAGGGGUCCUGAGAGGGAGAUCCCCCACACUGGUACUGAGACACGGACCAGACUCCUACGGGAGGCAGCAGUGAGGAAUAUUGGACAAUGGGCGCAAGCCUGAUCCAGCCAUGCCGCGUGCAGGAAGACGGUCC